This 490-nucleotide ribosomal RNA is filed under the name uncultured bacterium. RNAcentral describes it as "partial 16S ribosomal RNA". It matches the Rfam family "Bacterial small subunit ribosomal RNA", at positions 30 to 507 of the family's 1533-position model. The record is from RNAcentral.
AUUGAACGCUGGCGGCAGGCCUAACACAUGCAAGUCGAACGGUAACAGGAAGACGCUUGCUUCUUUGCUGACGAGUGGCGGACGGGUGAGUAAUGUCUGGGAAACUGCCUGAUGGAGGGGGAUAACUACUGGAAACGGUAGCUAAUACCGCAUAACGUCGCAAGACCAAAGAGGGGGACCUUCGGGCCUCUUGCCCUCGGAUGUGCCCAGAUGGGAUUAGCUAGUAGGUGGGGUAACGGCUCACCUAGGCGACGAUCCCUAGCUGGUCUGAGAGGAUGACCAGCCACACUGGAACUGAGACACGGUCCAGACUCCUACGGGAGGCAGCAGUGGGGAAUAUUGCACAAAGGGCGCAAGCCUGAUGCAGCCAUGCCGCGUGUAUGAAGAAGGCCUUCGGGUUGUAAAGUACUUUCAGCGGGGAGGAAGGGAGUAAAGUUAAUACCUUUGCUCAUUGACGUUACCCGCAGAAGAAGCACCGGCUAACUCCGUG